GACGAACGCUGGCGGCGUGCUUAACACAUGCAAGUCGAACGGAAAGGCCCUGCUUUUGUGGGGUGCUCGAGUGGCGAACGGGUGAGUAACACGUGAGUAACCUGCCCUUGACUUUGGGAUAACUUCAGGAAACUGGGGCUAAUACCGGAUAGGAGCUCCUGCUGCAUGGUGGGGGUUGGAAAGUUUCGGCGGUUGGGGAUGGACUCGCGGCUUAUCAGCUUGUUGGUGGGGUAGUGGCUUACCAAGGCUUUGACGGGUAGCCGGCCUGAGAGGGUGACCGGCCACAUUAGGACUGAGAUACGGCACAGACUCCUACGGGAGGCAGCAGUGGGGAAUAUUGCACAAUGGGCGGAAGCCUGAUGCAGCAACGCCGCGUGCGGGAUGACGGCCUUCGGGUUGUAAACCGCUUUCGCCUGUGACGAAGCGUGAGUGACGGUAAUGGGUAAAGAAGCACCGGCUAACUACGUG
This 468-nucleotide ribosomal RNA is filed under the name uncultured bacterium. RNAcentral's name for it is "partial 16S ribosomal RNA". It matches the Rfam family "Bacterial small subunit ribosomal RNA", at positions 28 to 507 of the family's 1533-position model. The record is from RNAcentral.